Molecule: ribosomal RNA, 253 nt
Filed under: uncultured bacterium
Lineage: Bacteria
Description: partial 16S ribosomal RNA
Rfam family: Bacterial small subunit ribosomal RNA
Source: RNAcentral
UACGUAGGGCGCGAGCGUUGUCCGGAUUUAUUGGGCGUAAAGAGCUCGUAGGCGGCUUGUCGCGUCGUCUGUGAAAUCCCACGGCUCAACUGUGGGCUUGCAGUCGAUACGGGCAGGCUGGAGUUCGGUAGGGGAGACUGGAAUUCCUGGUGUAGCGGUGAAAUGCGCAGAUAUCAGGAGGAACACCGGUGGCGAAGGCGGGUCUCUGGGCCGAUACUGACGCUGAGGAGCGAAAGCGUGGGGAGCGAACAGG